This 1486-nucleotide ribosomal RNA is filed under the name metagenome. RNAcentral describes it as "bacterial SSU rRNA". It matches the Rfam family "Bacterial small subunit ribosomal RNA". The record is from RNAcentral.
AGAGUUUGAUCCUGGCUCAGGAUGAACGCUAGCUACAGGCUUAACACAUGCAAGUCGAGGGGCAGCAUGGUCUUAGCUUGCUAAGGCCGAUGGCGACCGGCGCACGGGUGAGUAACACGUAUCCAACCUGCCGUCUACUCUUGGACAGCCUUCUGAAAGGAAGAAUAAUACAAGAUGGCAUCAUGAGUCCGCAUGUUCACAUGAUUAAAGGUAUUCCGGUAGACGAUGGGGAUGCGUUCCAUUAGAUAGUAGGCGGGGUAACGGCCCACCUAGUCUUCGAUGGAUAGGGGUUCUGAGAGGAAGGUCCCCCACAUUGGAACUGAGACACGGUCCAAACUCCUACGGGAGGCAGCAGUGAGGAAUAUUGGUCAAUGGGCGAGAGCCUGAACCAGCCAAGUAGCGUGAAGGAUGACUGCCCUAUGGGUUGUAAACUUCUUUUAUAAAGGAAUAAAGUCGGGUAUGCAUACCCGUUUGCAUGUACUUUAUGAAUAAGGAUCGGCUAACUCCGUGCCAGCAGCCGCGGUAAUACGGAGGAUCCGAGCGUUAUCCGGAUUUAUUGGGUUUAAAGGGAGCGUAGAUGGAUGUUUAAGUCAGUUGUGAAAGUUUGCGGCUCAACCGUAAAAUUGCAGUUGAUACUGGAUAUCUUGAGUGCAGUUGAGGCAGGCGGAAUUCGUGGUGUAGCGGUGAAAUGCUUAGAUAUCACGAAGAACUCCGAUUGCGAAGGCAGCCUGCUAAGCUGCAACUGACAUUGAGGCUCGAAAGUGUGGGUAUCAAACAGGAUUAGAUACCCUGGUAGUCCACACGGUAAACGAUGAAUACUCGCUGUUUGCGAUAUACAGCAAGCGGCCAAGCGAAAGCGUUAAGUAUUCCACCUGGGGAGUACGCCGGCAACGGUGAAACUCAAAGGAAUUGACGGGGGCCCGCACAAGCGGAGGAACAUGUGGUUUAAUUCGAUGAUACGCGAGGAACCUUACCCGGGCUUAAAUUGCAGAUGAAUUACGGUGAAAGCCGUAAACCGCAAGGCAUCUGUGAAGGUGCUGCAUGGUUGUCGUCAGCUCGUGCCGUGAGGUGUCGGCUUAAGUGCCAUAACGAGCGCAACCCUUGUUGUCAGUUACUAACAGGUUCUGCUGAGGACUCUGACAAGACUGCCAUCGUAAGAUGUGAGGAAGGUGGGGAUGACGUCAAAUCAGCACGGCCCUUACGUCCGGGGCUACACACGUGUUACAAUGGGGGGUACAGAGGGCCGCUACCACGCGAGUGGAUGCCAAUCCCCAAAACCUCUCUCAGUUCGGACUGGAGUCUGCAACCCGACUCCACGAAGCUGGAUUCGCUAGUAAUCGCGCAUCAGCCACGGCGCGGUGAAUACGUUCCCGGGCCUUGUACACACCGCCCGUCAAGCCAUGGGAGCCGGGGGUACCUGAAGUGCGUAACCGCGAGGAGCGCCCUAGGGUAAAACUGGUGACUGGGGCUAAGUCGGAACAAGGUA